This is a non-coding RNA of Pelobates cultripes (western spadefoot toad), 644 nucleotides long. The record is from the annotation of a GenBank genome assembly. NCBI's taxonomy places the organism in Eukaryota, Metazoa, Chordata, Amphibia, Anura, Pelobatidae.
CAUGGACUUCUUAGGUGACCGGCCGCACACGAGGCUCCUGCCCAAAACAGUUCCACAAGUUUUGGUGGUUUGGCCGGUCUAAUUCGGAAAGUCAAGAAAACCGAAUAAAUGCACGAACGUCUCCCCCUGGCUCAUAGUAGCGAUUGUUCCCCUUGCACAGUUUUGACUGGUAUUCGUGAAGUUGAGUGUCCGAUUUUAGUUCCAGACACUCGAUGACCAAGUCCCGCUACCUCCUUUCGUGAAAACAAGAUGGCCGCUGUUUUCUCGACCACAUGUCGUUCGGCUAUACGAACGGCGGCCACACAGGGGGAGCACUUAAAUGACUGUUCUCUUUGAAGUUAAUGAGCCAAGGGGUGGUCGGUGUUCGGUAGUUACAGCUACUGAAUGGAAUUACAUGAAAUAAACAAAAUAACUUGGUGAUUUCUUCACAACAGGUAGUUGGUAUACCAUAAAAGGGAGACUCAGGCUGGUAGCUGGAUUACCAUAAAAGGAAGACUCGGACAAGUAGUUGGUAUACCAUAAAAGGGAGACUCAAGCAAGCAGCUGCCAGACUAGAAAAGGUAAGACAAGUAUGAAUAUUCUGGCAGCUCACACAAUCCUUCAUAUGAACGGCAGAGCUAUUCAAUAAUAUCUGAAACAUCAGG